Molecule: long non-coding RNA, 364 nt
Organism: Canis lupus familiaris (dog)
Lineage: Eukaryota; Metazoa; Chordata; Mammalia; Carnivora; Canidae
Exons: 2
Source: RefSeq, a predicted model, not a curated record
CCAAAGGCAUGAUCAACCACUGAGCAACCCAGGUGCCCCAGUCUUACCUCAUCUUUAAAGAACUCGAGAAGAGAAUAAACAUACCGAUUACUUGCAUGGCCGGUUCCACGUCUGUUGUGGCCUCUUCCAACAAUGACAGCAGCUUGGCUGAUAUCUGAUGCACAGAUUCAAUGUUGCUAAACAAGCUAUCCACGUCCAGCCGAUCAAUCUGAAGAAACACAAACACUGAACACAGCUGAUGGAGAGAGACACACUGUAUUUAGGAUGUUUUCUCCUGCUAAACGGUCAGCAUCUUAUAUGCCAGCCCAUGCUGCUUCCAUUGACCAUUGCAGUAAACAUUCUUAUUUGGGAUUUUUAAAGUAAA